UAACUUAAGAGUUUGAUCCUAGCUCAGGAUGAACGCUGGCGGCGUGGAUAAGGCAUGCAAGUCGAGUGGGUUUAGACCCACGGCGAACGAGGUAGUAACACGUGGGAACGUACCCUAAAGUCGGGCAUAACCAGUCGAAAGAUUGGAUAAUUCUCGAUAUCUCUCCGGAGGAAAGAUUUAUCGCUUUAGGAACGGCCUGCGGGAUAUCAGCUAGUUGGUAAGGUAAUGGCUUACCAAGGCUAUGACGUCUAGGGGAGGUGAGAGCCUGACCCCCACCGAUGGUACUGCGACACGGACCAUACACCUACGGGUGGCUGCAGUCGAGAAUCUUCCACAAUGGACGAAAGUC
RNAcentral lists this non-coding RNA (349 nucleotides) under Candidatus Yonathbacteria bacterium RIFCSPHIGHO2_01_FULL_51_10. RNAcentral describes it as "bacterial SSU rRNA". It matches the Rfam family "Bacterial small subunit ribosomal RNA", at positions 1 to 383 of the family's 1533-position model. Lineage: Bacteria; Candidatus Yonathiibacteriota. The record is from RNAcentral.